GCCCGAAUAGCUCAGUUGGUAGAGCAACGGAUUGAAAAUCCGUGUGUCCCUGGUUCAAAUCCAGGCUCGGGCACCA
This 76-nucleotide transfer RNA is filed under the name Rhizobiaceae bacterium. Its description in RNAcentral is "tRNA-Phe". It matches the Rfam family "tRNA". From Rfam's summary of the family: Transfer RNA (tRNA) molecules are approximately 80 nucleotides in length. Their secondary structure includes four short double-helical elements and three loops (D, anti-codon, and T loops). Lineage: Bacteria; Pseudomonadati; Pseudomonadota; Alphaproteobacteria; Hyphomicrobiales; Rhizobiaceae. The record is from RNAcentral.